UCUUGUUCCAAACCAGUCCAACAUUAGGGUUUUUCCAAAACAGAGCAGUCCACUUGUUUCAGUCACAACUCAGUCAAUUUAACUCAAAAUAGAGCAUGGCUUACGCCGUUGGAAAAUACGUUCAUAGGGGGUAAAAUAUCACAGAAGAAAUCAUUUCCAAAUUCGGCACCAAUCUGGUUCAAAAUCGGGCAUCAAGUUGCUGCCUGAACACUUCAUUCCAGAUGAACAGAGCAACAGGACAGCGAACUUAAAACAUUUGGUUCGGCUUGCUCACAAAGAAUCAGAACGUGCAUUAUAUACCAAAUUAAAGCCAGGAAUUUCUAGUUUCCAACGCCACCAACGGCACAUGAUUUCGACAUCCGAGGACAGAGUUAUAGCCAAAAUACUACCACUGGUCAGAAUCAUACGCGAACAGUUUUCCAGAUUGCUAGUUUCUCAAGCAAAAUUCAUUUGCUCAAUCAAACCUCAAUAUUUUCCAAUGAAAUUUUUCACACAUCUAAUACAUCCUAUAAACAUCUAAUUCAAGCCAUUAAACCA
This 537-nucleotide long non-coding RNA is filed under the name Coffea arabica (coffee). RNAcentral describes it as "long non-coding RNA (CARA_LNC007730)". The record is from RNAcentral. Lineage: Eukaryota; Viridiplantae; Streptophyta; Magnoliopsida; Gentianales; Rubiaceae.